This 543-nucleotide ribosomal RNA is filed under the name uncultured bacterium. RNAcentral's name for it is "bacterial SSU rRNA". It matches the Rfam family "Bacterial small subunit ribosomal RNA", at positions 358 to 916 of the family's 1533-position model. The record is from RNAcentral.
GGAAUCUUGCGCAAUGGGCGAAAGCCUGACGCAGCAACGCCGCGUGCGGGAAGAAGGCUUUCGGGCUGUAAACCGCUUUCAGCAGGAGCGAAAAUGACGGUACCUGCAGAAGAAGGAGCGGCCAACUAUGUGCCAGCAGCCGCGGUGAUACAUAGGCUUCAAGCGUUGUCCGGAUUUAUUGGGCGUAAAGAGCUCGUAGGCGGUUGAGUAAGUCGGGUGUGAAAACUUUGGGCUCAACCCAGAGACGCCACCCGAUACUGCUUAACUUGAGUUCGAUAGGGGAGUGGGGAAUUCCUAGUGUAGCGGUGAAAUGCGCAGAUAUUAGGAGGAACACCGGUGGCGAAGGCGCCACUCUGGAUCGACACUGACGCUGAGGAACGAAAGCAUGGGUAGCAAACAGGAUUAGAUACCCUGGUAGUCCAUGCGGUAAACGGUGGGCACUAGGUGUGGGUUUCUAUUAACGAAAUCCGCGCCGUCGCUAACGCAUUAAGUGCCCCGCCUGGGGAGUACGGUCGCAAGACUAAAACUCAAAGGAAUUGACGG